This is a long non-coding RNA of Fundulus heteroclitus (mummichog), 1097 nucleotides long. RefSeq lists it as uncharacterized. The record is from RefSeq and is a predicted model, not a curated record. The transcript has 4 exons. NCBI's taxonomy places the organism in Eukaryota, Metazoa, Chordata, Actinopteri, Cyprinodontiformes, Fundulidae.
UCUUAUUCAUUUUUCCAAAGUAAAAAAGCAUUUGGAACAAGCGUCUUGGUGCGGUCUAACCCUUUUUUCUUUCAUAUGUUCCAAGAUACGGAGAAAGGAACUGGGUUCAUGAACAGUUAAGACUGUUGGAAUUUACACAAAAACCAAAGAGUGACAAAGGAUUUAAGAAUUAAUCUAACAAUGUAUGACUGUCAAUGCUAACAGUUCCUUACUAACUUUAUUAAACGAACAGCAUUUUAAAGUUGUAUAUUUAUUACUAAUUAUAUAUGCAGUCAUUCUUGAUCGAAGCGUAAAUGUCCGAGUGUUCCCCGAACGCCUCUCAACGGUCUCUCCCGUCCCGUCCAGAGACGGAAGUUAUUCUGUGCUGCUCGUUGGACUGGCUAAUCAGAAAUCUUCAUCAGCUCUUGCGUUGACUGGCUAAACUGACAUCGUCACCAGCUCGUGCGUUGACUAGGACCGAAAUCUGGUACCUGGGAAUCAAUACUGUUGCUGAGUGGUGUCCUCCGGACCAGUCUCCUCUCACCACUAUUGGACAUUUUGUUUCCAGCUGUGUUUACCUUCCUUUUCCUGUUCCAACUCCUCUGGAACGCCAUUCCCUGUGCAUAAUCCUAUCUUUCUAUUUGUAAAAGUGUUUCCAUAACCAGUUAUCCCAAUAGGUGUUCUGGUUUUCCUUAAUUCAGAAACCUGGUCUACAGGUGACCAGAGUUUCCUUUCUUUUUACAAACCUGGUAUUUGCUUUGUUUAAACCAGUGUUUACUGUCUCUCUUCUGACCUUUGUUUCCAGCUGACCUUACUUCAGCAAUUUGGCCUUAUCAGAACUCAACUUUUUGGCACAACUUUUUGGCACAACUAUUUUCAGAACUCAACUUUUUGGCACAACUAUUAUCAGAACUCUGGUCUCUUUGAGGCACCCUGUUUCUUGGCAAAAAAAAAUUAUCAAGUGAAAAGUGCUUGAUUGGGGUUUUCUGGCUACCCUGCAUCUUUAUUGAUUGAUCGAGACCUGAGAGAAGUGCUGCAUCUGGUUCUGAACUGCUGUCCUGUGGAUUUACCAAAGGUUUGUUGUUGCUGUUGAAAUAAAACAUCUGUAAAAAAGAAAA